This 460-nucleotide ribosomal RNA is filed under the name uncultured bacterium. Its description in RNAcentral is "partial 16S ribosomal RNA". It matches the Rfam family "Bacterial small subunit ribosomal RNA", at positions 338 to 795 of the family's 1533-position model. The record is from RNAcentral.
CCUACGGGCGGCAGCAGUGAGGAAUAUUGGUCAAUGGACGAGAGUCUGAACCAGCCAAGUAGCGUGAAGGAUGACUGCCCUAUGGGUUGUAAACUUCUUUUAUAAAGGAAUAAAACGAGGCACGUGUGCCUUUUUGCGUGUACUUUAUGAAUAAGGAUCGGCUAACUCCGUGCCAGCAGCCGCGGUAAUACGGAGGAUUCGAGCGUUAUCCGGAAUUAUUGGGUUUAAAGGGAGCGUAGAUGGGUUGUUAAGUCAGGUGUGAAAGUUUGCGGCUCAACCGUAAAAGUGCAGUUGAUACUGGCAGUCUUGAGUACAGUAGAGGUAAGCGGAAUGCGUGGUGUAGCGGUGAAAUGCAUAGAUAUCACGCAGAACCCCGAUUGCGAAGGCAGCUUACUAAACUGUGACUGACAUUGAUGCUCGAAAGUGUGGGUAUCGAACAGGAUUAGAUACCCCUGUAGUC